Molecule: ribosomal RNA, 401 nt
Filed under: uncultured bacterium
Lineage: Bacteria
Description: partial 16S ribosomal RNA
Rfam family: Archaeal small subunit ribosomal RNA
Source: RNAcentral
ACACCGGCGGCCCGAGUGGUGAUCGUGAUUAUUGGGUCUAAAGGGUCCGUAGCCGGUUUGGUCAGUCCUCCGGGAAAUCUGAUAGCUCAACUAUUAGGCUUUCGGGGGAUACUGCCAGACUUGGAACCGGGAGAGGUAAGAGGUACUACAGGGGUAGGAGUGAAAUCUUGUAAUCCCUGUGGGACCACCUGUGGCGAAGACGUGGUAGCAGAGCGGGUUCGGAGGUGAGGGACGAAAGCUGGGGGCAGGAACCGGAUUAGAUUCCCGGGUAGUCCCAGCCGGAAACGAUGCGCGCUAGGUGUCAGGCAUGGCGCGACCGUGUCUGGUGCCGCAGGGAAGCCGUGAAGCGAGCCACCUGGGAAGUACGGCCGCAAGGCUGAAACUUAAAGGAAUUGGCGGGG